RNAcentral lists this ribosomal RNA (484 nucleotides) under uncultured bacterium. RNAcentral describes it as "SSU rRNA". It matches the Rfam family "Bacterial small subunit ribosomal RNA", at positions 26 to 518 of the family's 1533-position model. The record is from RNAcentral.
AGAGCGAACGCUGGCGGCGUGCUUAACACAUGCAAGUCGAACGAGGUCUGUAGCAAUACAGAUACUCGUGGCGAACGGGUGCGUAACACGUGGAUAACCUUCCUUCAGGUGGGGAAUAACCCAGUGAAAAUUGGGCUAAUACCGCAUAACAUGACGAUGCCACAUGGUGUUGUCUUCAAAGGCGCAAGUCGCCAGAAGAGGGAUCCGCGGCCGAUUAGCUAGUUGGCGAGGUAAUGGCUCACCAAGGCAAUGAUCGGUAGCCGGACUGAGAGGUUGGCCGGCCACACUGGAACUGAGACACGGUCCAGACUCCUACGGGAGGCAGCAGUGGGGAAUCUUGCACAAUGGACGAAAGUCUGAUGCAGCAACGCCGCGUGGGGAUGAAGCUUUUCGGAGUGUAAACCCCUUUCGACCCGGAAGAACGCCCGCAAGGGUUUGACGGUACGGGUAUAAGAGCCCCGGCUAACUACGUGCCAGCAGCCGC